Molecule: ribosomal RNA, 468 nt
Filed under: uncultured bacterium
Lineage: Bacteria
Description: partial 16S ribosomal RNA
Rfam family: Bacterial small subunit ribosomal RNA
Source: RNAcentral
GACGAACGCUGGCGGCGUGCUUAACACAUGCAAGUCGAACGGAAAGGCCCUGCUCUUGUGGGGUGCUCGAGUGGCGAACGGGUGAGUAACACGUGAGUAACCUGCCCUUGACUUUGGGAUAACUUCAGGAAACUGGGGCUAAUACCGCAUAGGAGCUCCUGCUGCAUGGUGGGGGUUGGAGAGUUUCGGCGGUAGGGGAUGGACUCGCGGCUUAUCAGCUUCUUGGUGGGGUAGUGGCUUACCAAGGCUUUGACGGGUAGCCGGCCUGAGAGGGUGACCAGCCACAUUGGGACUGAGAGAGGGCGCAGACUCCUACGGGAGGCAGCAGGGGGGAAUAUUGCACAGUGGCCGCAAGCCUGAUGCAGCAACGCCGCGUGCGGGAUGACGGCCUACGGGUUAUAAACCGCUUUCGCCUGUGACGAAGCGUGAGUGACGGUAAUGGGUAAAGAAGCACCGGCUAACUACGUG